UACGGGGGGGGCAAGCGUUGUUCGGAAUUACUGGGCGUAAAGAGCUCGUAGGCGGCUUGUCACGUCGGAUGUGAAAGCCCGAGGCUUAACCUCGGGUCUGCAUUCGAUACGGGCUAGCUAGAGUGUGGUAGGGGAGAUCGGAAUUCCUGGUGUAGCGGUGAAAUGCGCAGAUAUCAGGAGGAACACCGGUGGCGAAGGCGGCUCACUGGCUCGAUACUGACGCUGAGGUGCGAAAGCGUGGGGAGCAAACAGG
This 253-nucleotide ribosomal RNA is filed under the name uncultured bacterium. RNAcentral describes it as "partial 16S ribosomal RNA". It matches the Rfam family "Bacterial small subunit ribosomal RNA", at positions 524 to 776 of the family's 1533-position model. The record is from RNAcentral.